UGGGGAAUAUUGGACAAUGGGCGCAAGCCUGAUCCAGCAAUACCGCGUGUGUGAAGAAGGCCUGAGGGUUGUAAAGCACUUUCAAUAGGGAGGAAAAAGCAUAGGCGAAUACCCUGUGCCUUGACAUUACCUAUAGAAGAAGCACCGGCUAACUCCGUGCCAGCAGCCGCGGUAAUACGGAGGGUGCGAGCGUUAAUCGGAAUUACUGGGCGUAAAGCGUGCGUAGGCGGCUUGUUAAGUCAGAUGUGAAAGCCCUGGGCUCAACCUGGGAACUGCAUUUGAAACUGGGAGGCUAGAGUUAGGUAGAGGGAAGUGGAAUUCCGGGUGUAGCGGUGAAAUGCGUAGAUAUCCGGAGGAACACCAGUGGCGAAGGCGGCUUCCUGGACCCAAACUGACGCUGAGGUACGAAAGCGUGGGUAGCAAACA
Molecule: ribosomal RNA, 426 nt
Filed under: uncultured Gammaproteobacteria bacterium
Lineage: Bacteria; Pseudomonadati; Pseudomonadota; Gammaproteobacteria
Description: uncultured gamma proteobacterium partial 16S ribosomal RNA
Rfam family: Bacterial small subunit ribosomal RNA
Source: RNAcentral